CUUACCGCCCGGCAAUAAACAUGCAAGUCGAGCGGACAGAAGGGAGCUUGCUCCCGGAUGUUAGCGGCGGACGGGUGAGUAACACGUGGGUAACCUGCCUGUAAGACUGGGAUAACUCCGGGAAACCGGAGCUAAUACCGGAUAGUUCCUUGAACCGCAUGGUUCAAGGAUGAAAGACGGUUUCGGCUGUCACUUAAAGAUGGACCCGCGGCGCAUUAGCUAGUUGGUGGGGUAAUGGCUCACCAAGGCAACGAUGCGUAGCCGACCUGAGAGGGUGAUCGGCCACACUGGGACUGAGACACGGCCCAGACUCCUACGGGAGGCAGCAGUAGGGAAUCUUCCGCAAUGGACGAAAGUCUGACGGAGCAACGCCGCGUGAGUGAUGAAGGUUUUCGGAUCGUAAAGCUCUGUUGUUAGGGAAGAACAAGUGCGAGAGUAACUGCUCGCACCUUGACGGUACCUAACCAGAAAGCCACGGCUAACUACGUGCCAGCAGCCGCGGUAAUACGUAGGUGGCAAGCGUUGUCCGGAAUUAUUGGGCGUAAAGGGCUCGCAGGCGGUUUCUUAAGUCUGAUGUGAAAGCCCCCGGCUCAACCGGGGAGGGUCAUUGGAAACUGGGAAACUUGAGUGCAGAAGAGGAGAGUGGAAUUCCACGUGUAGCGGUGAAAUGCGUAGAGAUGUGGAGGAACACCAGUGGCGAAGGCGACUCUCUGGUCUGUAACUGACGCUGAGGAGCGAAAGCGUGGGGAGCGAACAGGAUUAGAUACCCUGGUAGUCCACGCCGUAAACGAUGAGUGCUAAGUGUUAGGGGGUUUCCGCCCCUUUAGUGCUGCAGCUAACGCAUUAAGCACUCCGCCUGGGGAGUACGGUCGCAAGACUGAAACUCAAAGGAAUUUGACGGGGGCCCGCACAAGCGGUGGAGCAUGUGGUUUAAUUCGAAGCAACGCGAAGAACCUUACCAGGUCUUGACAUCUUCUGACAACCCUAGAGAUAGGGCUUUCCCUUCGGGGGACAGAGUGAACAGGUGGUGCAUGGUUUGUCGUCAGCCUCGUUGUCGUGAGAUGUUGGGUUUAAGUCCCGCAACGAGGCGCACCUGAUCCUUAGGUUGCCAAGCCAUUUAGCUUGGCACUUCUAGGGUGGCACUGCGGUGACAAAACCGGAAGGAAAGGCUGGGC
Molecule: ribosomal RNA, 1175 nt
Filed under: Bacillus pumilus
Lineage: Bacteria; Bacillati; Bacillota; Bacilli; Caryophanales; Bacillaceae
Description: bacterial SSU rRNA
Rfam family: Bacterial small subunit ribosomal RNA
Source: RNAcentral